GCAGAACGCGAAGAACCUUACCAAACCCUUGACAUGUCCAGUAUGGGCACCAGAGAUGGAGCCUUUCAGUUCGGCUGGCUGGAACACAGGUGCUGCAUGGCUGUCGUCAGCUCGUGUCGUGAGAUGUUGGGUUAAGUCCCGCAACGAGCGCAACCCUCGCCCUUAGUUGCCAUCAUUUAGUUGGGCACUCUAGGGGGGACUGCCGGUGAUAAGCCGCGAGGAAGGUGGGGAUGACGUCAAGUCCUCAUGGCCCUUACGGGUUGGGCUACACACGUGCUACAAUGGCGGUGACAAUGGGAUGCAAAGGCGCAAAGCCCGUGCAAAUCUCAAAAAGCCGUCUCAGUUCGGACUGGGGUCUGCAACUGACCCCACGAAGUCGGAAUCGCUAGUAAUCGUGGAUCAGCAUG
RNAcentral lists this ribosomal RNA (407 nucleotides) under uncultured bacterium. RNAcentral's name for it is "bacterial SSU rRNA". It matches the Rfam family "Bacterial small subunit ribosomal RNA", at positions 954 to 1356 of the family's 1533-position model. The record is from RNAcentral.